Non-coding RNA from Camelina sativa (false flax), 754 nucleotides. NCBI's taxonomy places the organism in Eukaryota, Viridiplantae, Streptophyta, Magnoliopsida, Brassicales, Brassicaceae. The record is from RefSeq and is a predicted model, not a curated record.
UGAGGUCACUGUUGUUGGGUGCCAAAAAUUGAAAGACACCGAAUGGUUUUUUGAGUAUAACGGCGCAAGCUACCUUACCAGAACUUGCAGAGAUGGUGGAAAGAACGCUGUUUUCCAAGAGAAGUUUAUGUUUACUUUGCUUGGAAGGGCUUACGGAUCUUAAGGUUGCUAGCAAUACACUUUCCACCGAUGACUUCAUUGGGAAAUUCUUAAGGUUCCGUAUGUGUAAUGCUUAAAAAUUCCUGAUUUGUAUUUGGAAUUGAGUAUUUUGCAGUGUUUGUUUGUUUUUGCUAGGAUUCAAUUGCAGAAGGUUAUUUCUCAGGGAUAUGACAAUUGCACCUAAAAUUUGCAGACUAAAACUGGGAGUGAUUGAAGAUGUAGUUCUCCCAUGUUGUAGCUCCAUGUUCGACCCUUCUGCGGUCCUGUUUGCGUUCUCGGCAGUUGCCCAUGGCCCCAUGAUACUACACAUAUACGUUUGGUUUAGCUAAGUUAUAGAUUGCAUGUUUUUUAUUUAAAUAAUUUGCAGAAUUUUUUGUUGUGUAAGUUGCAUGUUCUGUUUCCUAGAAUAUGAGUGAUAAUUGAUUUUAGAGGAUUUACUUUGUACUUGUGCAUUUUAAAAUCAGGAAAAACAAUGCUUUGCUUUUGUCCACUCCUUCCAUAAGUUGAAUUCUCAACUCUACUGUUGAAAAUGUUUAUUGUUUUCAUUGUUCUCAAAAUUCAACUUACAUUAGUACAAUGGUUUUUGUUUAUAUGA